Perca fluviatilis (European perch) is the source of this 401-nucleotide long non-coding RNA. RefSeq lists it as uncharacterized. The transcript is spliced from 2 exons. Lineage: Eukaryota; Metazoa; Chordata; Actinopteri; Perciformes; Percidae. The record is from RefSeq and is a predicted model, not a curated record.
AAACCAAUCUUUCUCCUCCAGGAGGGCACGUGGUUGUGGACUGAUGGAUCCAAAUUCAACUACAGAAUCUUCAAUGGUGGGCAGCCGGACAACACCGGUGGAGUGGAGAAGUGUCUUGAGAUGAACUUUGAAGGAAAGAACUGGAACGACUUAACUUGUAGUACCUACCAGGCUUGUUUCGUGUGCUCCAUGAACCUGUGUGUGUAACUCUACCACACCAUCAUGAUGCCUCUACAGCUCAUCUAUAAUCUCUAUCAUUGAUUCACUUUCAGUUUGUUCAGUAGACAGAAACAGCUCUCUGCUGACAGAUGACUCUCUUUCACUUGUUUAUAAUCUGAAGAGUUAGGGAACAGUUCACAUUUGGGUUUAAAAUUAGACAGAAACUGGCUCACUGAUCUGGA